GGUCAAGCGAAUAAGCGCACACGGUGGAUGCCUAGGCGGUCAGAGGCGAUGAAGGACGUGGCAGCCUGCGAAAAGUGUCGGGGAGCUGGCAACAAGCUUUGAUCCGGCAAUAUCCGAAUGGGGAAACCCACUGCUUCGGCAGUAUCCUGCAGUGAAUUCAUAGCUGCUGGAAGCGAACCCGGUGAACUGAAAUAUCUAAGUAACCGGAGGAAAAGAAAUCAACCGAGAUUCCCUAAGUAGUGACGAGCGAACGGGGAGCAGCCCUUAAGCUGGAAUGGCUUUAGAAAAACAAUCUGGAAAGAUUGGCCAUAGAAGGUGAUAGCCCUGUAUUUAAAAGGGCCACUCCAGUGAAGACGAGUAGGGCGGGGCACGUGAAACCCUGUCUGAAUAUGGGGGGACCAUCCUCCAAGGCUAAAUACUCCUGACCGACCGAUAGUGGACCAGUACCGUGAGGGAAAGGCGAAAAGAACCCCGGAGAGGGGAGUGAAAUAGAUCCUGAAACCGUGUGCGUACAAGCAGUAGGAGCUCGCAAGAGUGACUGCGUACCUUUUGUAUAAUGGGUCAGCGACUUACUGUUCGUGGCAAGCUUAACCGUAUAGGGGAGGCGAAGGGAAACCGAGUCUGAUAAGGGCGCAUAGUCGCGGGCAGUAGACCCGAAACCGGGUGAUCUAGUCAUGGCCAGGGUGAAGGUGCCGUAACAGGUACUGGAGGCCCGAACCCACGUCUGUUGCAAAAGACGGGGAUGAGCUGUGAUUAGGAGUGAAAAGCUAAUCGAACCCGGAGAUAGCUGGUUCUCCUCGAAAGCUAUUUAGGUAGCGCCUCAUAUGUAUCCUCUCGGGGGUAGAGCACUGUUAUGGCUAGGGGGUCAUCGCGACUUACCAAACCAUUGCAAACUCCGAAUACCGAGACGGACUGUAUGGGAGACACACGGCGGGUGCUAACGUCCGUCGUGAAAAGGGAAACAACCCAGACCCACAGCUAAGGUCCCAAAUUCACUGCUAAGUGGAAAACGAUGUGGAAAGGCAUAGACAGCCAGGAGGUUGGCUUAGAAGCAGCCACCCUUUAAAGAAAGCGUAAUAGCUCACUGGUCGAGUCGGUCUGCGCGGAAGAUUUAACGGGGCUAAGCAGUGAACCGAAGCUUGGGGUGCAUAAAACUUGUUUUAUGCGCGGUAGAGGAGCGUUCCGUAAGCCUGCGAAGGUGGAUUGAGAAGUCUGCUGGAGGUAUCGGAAGUGCGAAUGCUGACAUGAGUAACGAUAAUGCGGGUGAAAAGCCCGCACGCCGAAAGCCCAAGGUUUCCUUGCGCAACGUUAAUCGACGCAGGGUUAGUCGGUCCCUAAGGCGAGGGCGAAAGCCGUAGUCGAUGGGAAGCAGGUUAAUAUUCCUGCACCUCGCGUGAGUGCGAUGGAGGGACGGAGAAGGUUAGGUGUACCGGGCGUUGGUUGUCCCGGGGAAAGGCGGUAGGUUUGGAUCUUUGGCAAAUCCGGGAUCCUUUAAGACCGAGCACCGAGACGAGCCUUUAUGGCGAAGUCACUGAUACCACGCUUCCAGGAAAAGCUCCUAAGCUUCAGCUCACGAAGACCGUACCGUAAACCGACACAGGUGGGUAGGAUGAGAAUUCUCAGGCGCUUGAGAGAACUCGGGUGAAGGAACUAGGCAACAUGGCACCGUAACUUCGGGAGAAGGUGCACCCUUUUUGGUGGCUCGUGCGAGCUAUAGCUGAAGAGGGUCGCAGAAACCAGGCCGCUGCGACUGUUUAUCAAAAACACAGCACUCUGCAAACACGAAAGUGGACGUAUAGGGUGUGACGCCUGCCCGGUGCUGGAAGGUUAAUUGAUGGGGUCAGCCGCAAGGCGAAGCUCUUGAUCGAAGCCCCAGUAAACGGCGGCCGUAACUAUAACGGUCCUAAGGUAGCGAAAUUCCUUGUCGGGUAAGUUCCGACCUGCACGAAUGGCGUAACGACAGCGGCGCUGUCUCCACCCGAGACUCAGUGAAAUUGAAAUCGCUGUGAAGAUGCAGCGUUCCCGUGGCAAGACGGAAAGACCCCGUGAACCUUUACUAUAGCUUUACACUGAACGUUGAGUUCGUCUGUGUAGGAUAGGUGGGAGGCUAUGAAACUGUGGCGCUAGCUGCAGUGGAGCCAUCCUUGAAAUACCACCCUGUCGUGCUUGACGUUCUAACCUAGGUCCGUUAUCCGGAUCAGGGACCGUGUAUGGUGGGUAGUUUGACUGGGGCGGUCUCCUCCUAAAGAGUAACGGAGGAGCACGAAGGUACGCUCAGCGCGGUCGGACAUCGCGCACUGUGUGCAAAGGCAUAAGCGUGCUUGACUGCAAGAUCGACGGAUCAAGCAGGUACGAAAGUAGGUCUUAGUGAUCCGGUGGUUCUGUAUGGAAGGGCCAUCGCUCAACGGAUAAAAGGUACUCCGGGGAUAACAGGCUGAUACCGCCCAAGAGUUCAUAUCGACGGCGGUGUUUGGCACCUCGAUGUCGGCUCAUCACAUCCUGGGGCUGUAGUCGGUCCCAAGGGUAUGGCUGUUCGCCAUUUAAAGUGGUACGCGAGCUGGGUUCAGAACGUCGUGAGACAGUUCGGUCCCUAUCUGCCAUGGGCGUUGGAAGUUUGAGAGGGGCUGCUCCUAGUACGAGAGGACCGGAGUGGACGAACCUCUGGUGUUCCGGUUGUCACGCCAGUGGCAUUGCCGGGUAGCUAUGUUCGGAAGCGAUAACCGCUGAAAGCAUCUAAGCGGGAAGCGCGCCUCAAGAUGAGACUUCCCGGGGCACAAGCCCCCUAAAGGAACCAUGUAGACUACGUGGUUGAUAGGUCAGGUGUGUAAGUACAGCAAUGUAUUGAGCUAACUGAUACUAAUGAUCCGUGCGGCUUGACCAU
This 2881-nucleotide ribosomal RNA is filed under the name Xanthomonas euvesicatoria. RNAcentral describes it as "23S ribosomal RNA". It matches the Rfam family "Bacterial large subunit ribosomal RNA". The record is from RNAcentral. Lineage: Bacteria; Pseudomonadati; Pseudomonadota; Gammaproteobacteria; Lysobacterales; Lysobacteraceae.